UCCACUGCAUGCAUCCGAUGAAGUGAGCUGUAGCUCAUGAAAGCUUAUGCUUAAAUAAAUUUGUUAUAUUCUAAGGUGCCACAAGUCCUCCUUUUUUGGGGAGUUAUUUGUGUAAAUCUCCCAUUAUUAGUGGGAGAAUUAAAACUGUUAGGCCUUAGCCAUAUCAGGUUUUCAACUAACAACGGAAACACCUAGAAUAGAUGCUGUUUACACCAGUGCAGCAUAAUUUGCACUCAUGGAAUUUACACUAGGGUACAAAUCAUUGUAUUGCACAAAUCAUGUUGCAUCAGUGUAAACCAAUUCUGUGUUAGGAAUUUGCACUGGUGCAGCUACAUCAGUGGAAGAAAUGCCAGUAUAAAUUUUACUGAACGCAGACCUAGGGGAAUAUCUAAACUAAUCUUAUUUUCUGAAGCGUUCUUAUGUUUCUAUAAGUGUAUCAUCCUAUAUGCAGCAUAUAUGUUCAGAUGUGCUGAACAAACUUGUGUCAAUUUUAUGGAUGCUGUAUGUGAAGCAUGUUAUUCAAGUGUAAAUAUUUGGUGCAAGUAAGUAUUUACUAAUACAGGAAAACAGGUGAGUGAGAAAGUAAACAGCACUCAGUAAUAAAAAUAAAUAUAUACAAAAACGUAUUCUUCACUAGCCUGCCAAUAGGUCAGAGGGCCAAAGAAAGUUCUCCCAUUUUCAAUUUAGGGCCAGAUUCUAAUACCCUUACUCAUGAUAACUAGUACCUUAAUAAGCAACUCGUCUCACUGAAGUCUGCUAUUACUUUUGGAGUAAGGUACUAAAUGUAUGACAAAACAAACUGUGGCAUUAUAAAAUUCCUUCCCAUUCCUUUUCUAAUCAGAGACCAAAGCCUUAAAGAAGGGGAUCUUUAUUUGAAGAAGACAUAGUUUCAUCUCCUUCAGAGCCUGGCCCCAUACUAACAUUCACUAUGGAAGAAAUAUACACUUGAAAAUGUAUUUAAUUAAAACAUUAUCUUUCUCUUCUCUUUAACCCCUUUAGCUGAUAUCACAUCGAGUCCCAAGCAUUUAUAGUAUCCAACAAAACGAAGUAAUAAGACACUAAAGUAGAAUUGCCACCUCUGGAAAAUCUUAAGUCCACAUACGGCACAUCAUAAGCUGUGGUUCCAUUAUUAAGCGUUUGAAGAAAAGAGAGUCUACUUAUACUGGGCUGCAUCACAUCAGAGGAUCAGGGUUUAUGGUCUUAAUCCUACAAUGUUUUGCACUGGCACAGCUUUGCAAUGUCUCAUUGAAGUAAAUGGGACACCAUACAGACACAAGGAUCUGAGCAAGCUGAUCUUUUGGUGCUAAUUUGGUUUAUGAAAAUAUAAAAGAUGGAUGGCUUGAUUAAGCUGUUAAUGGCUGUAUUGGUCAACAUCACUUUGUCUUUAAGCUAGUGAACCAUAUAUUUUUCAACAUUUAAAAAAAUACGCUACCAGUAGUAUUAGAGCGGUCUUGAAUUUCCUGCAGCCCAGUUCUGGGAAAAAAAGAUAGUUCUCAUUCAAAUGGACACAGUUCUGAUUUAUUUUACCUGAAGGUGCUAAGAGUAAGUAAAACAGUGUGACUGUUAAGACUGUUUUGGGACAAAAAUAAUGUAACUGGGUUGUUUUGUGGUUCACACUAGUGCUAUAGGCUUGGAUCCAGAAUUAUUCAAGUAGGCUGUGGACACUGUAUCCAAUUCCAUAAAGGCAGAGUAAAGCGUAGUGAGUUGUAAGUCAGGUAAGCUGCUAUGCGGAUUGCUAUUCUGGGUGGUGAGGUUAUUGCUGCUGUUACUAUCCAUCUGAUAGUGAGAAGGGAAGCACUGAGAGGAUAUUGGGGAUGUUGAAAUGAGAACCAAGGGAUCCACAGCCAGGCUGUCAUCUUUCAGUUCUUCCCAAAGAUUUCCUAUAACAAAAAACAAAACCAACACACUGAUGUAGUCUUUGGCUUUCGUGUGUGUGUGUGUGUGUUUGCUUUUGUUUCUUUUUCUUUUAAGAGUGAGUCCACUCUUGGUGCAUCAUGUCUACUGCUGAGCACUUGUGAGAUAAAACAGACAGCAAGAACUGUUUUACAUCAUCAGCUGACAAAUUCACAUUCAGCGGCAUGUAUACUUUCAUUUAAAACGCAUUUCUAGCACAUAUUGUCACGAACAUGCCUUUGAAAAUGUGAACUGAUGAAUUUUCAACUAUACCUAGCAACAGCUUUUAAAAGUGCAAACUGCCCCCCCCAUUCAUCUCAGCAGGGUGUUGAUUUUUCAACUAAUGAUGAUGCUUUGAGUAUGUCUACACUUUAAGAUUUGGGGUGUGAUUCCUAGCUUGAGGAGACAUACAUUAGCUCUAAUGAAACUAAGGCUUGGUCUACGCUAGCAACUUUUGUCGGUAUAACUAUGUCGCCUGGGAUGUGGAAAACCACAUCCUUGAGUGACAACAUAGUUCUACUGACCUAUAGACAGUGUUACGCCAAUGGGAGGUUGAUUACCUAUGCCAGUGGGAGAAGCCCUCUCAUUGGCUUAGGUAGCAUCUUCACUUGCGCCACUGCAGCCUUGUAAGUGUAGAUAGGCCCUUAAAAUCAGGUGUAGCUGCAGCCUGGCAAGUGAUGGGAAGAGCUAGCAUGGGUGGAAAUCAUGCCCUCAGCUCAGUGUAGACAAAACUGCAGUGGGACAGACUUUCAGAUAAUGUUGGUGCACAAUUGUGUGCUUAAUCUGCACAUGGAGUUUACUGCAGUUAUGUGGUCAAAUCAAGUAACGGCAUGUAUAAAUGGUCAAAUAAGCAAACUUCAGAAAUGCUUCUUGUCCUGAAGAUGUACACUGCCAUUUCUCACUGAAUGAUGCAGAACACAAAGGUGACACUAACUAGAAGUUUAGCUACUGCAUGAGGGCCACAUUCUCUGCUCACUUUUUGUGGGAGACUUUCUGUGGAUAUGGGGGAGCGUAUCUCCCUAAACUUGUAAGCACGGUUUAUGCAUCAUAAUGUGAAAUAUAAUUUACCCCUCUUCCUAGAAUAAGUUUGACAUACUGCAUGUAAAUGAAGACAGAAUUUGCCUUAAGUUUGUGAGAUGUUUGACAACUUAACAAGUCCCAUUUAUUAGACAGUGAACCCCAAACCCAAGGCCAGAUCAUUUUGUAGAAUAAAACAGGCCAUAGAGUAGAGAAAGGGAAGUAAUUUAAGAUGGAAUGGCUGAAAAAUCUGUGCAACAGCAGGGCUGGUGCUUGGUGGCAUCAUGCCAGGGGGGUCAGAGGUACAGAGUGCAGGGAACACAAAUAUGUGCAUACACAAAAUAAGAUAUUUAGAAAGGUUGAGGAGCCAAGAGAGAGGCAUGAACUGUUGAAUUUUGUAUUUGGAAAGGUGCAGAAUGGUGCACUUAAAAAUCCACCUUUUAGUCAUCAGCAACUAAAGGAGAAAUCUAUACCCUACAGGGUUUUUUGACCAUUUGGAGAUGGUCUGGCAGCUUCUGAUACCAUUGUUCCCUGUUCCCUUAGAUCUUGUUGUCAAUGGAGCUGGAACAAUAUUUUGCACCAGUGCCUUGCCGUAAUAAUGAUGUGCACUCAACCCUAUUGGAUCCACAGGCUUGCACUGUGCCUCUUCCAUUUCUACUGCUGCAUUCUGUUUUUGUUGUAUUUCCAUGAGGAUGUUUGGUAUGCCUCUUGUCCCCUGCAGCUGGGCAAAACCUACCCUUCCUAUGGCAUGAUCCAGCAGGAGCUGUACAGCCUCUAAGCUGGAGAUUUUUCACCUAACUUUGGCUCUUCCACUGAUCAUUAUUUUUGCAGUGGCAGGGUGAUUUGGGCCUUGAGCACUAUAUCUAGUCCAAGGAAGAUUUGUUUGGCUGAGAACAGGAGCUCUGAUGUCUGCAAUACACAAUCAUUUCAGCAAACUUUACCAAGUGUAGGAGGUCAGUGAAGUGAUCACUCAAACAUCUGUGGUAAAUUGUAUACAGAGUAAGUUGCAUUUUUUUUAAAUUUUUUUUAGCAAAAAACUGGAAGAGGAUUGUAACAAUAAUGGUGAAUGCAACCAAAAAUUAUGUACCAUGCACUCAAAUAAAAACAUGUUUUCUUGUUCUCAUG
Molecule: long non-coding RNA, 4035 nt
Organism: Chelonia mydas (Green sea turtle)
Lineage: Eukaryota; Metazoa; Chordata; Testudines; Cheloniidae
Exons: 4
Source: RefSeq, a predicted model, not a curated record